AGUUUUGCCAAGUUCGUGGUUUUAUCUUUCAACGGAAAAGUAGAAAUCUUCGGGUGGGGGGCGCGUGAUUGGGAUAGUUUUAAAUAGAAUGGGAAUGGUUGAUUUGCAGACCUGGAAAACCCGGCAUAUCAAAUCUACCGAAGCAUUUGAAUCCAAACUGUGGACUGACGGAGGAAGUUAAAGAUCCACUUUUUGAAACCAGUGCAAGAUCUGCUCAAGGGUCAGCCGUUCAGUUGGAUCAUGGGACAAUGAGAUCACGGCAUUCUGUUUUCAGAAGAGAGCUGAUAAAUCUGCAUGAUUUCCAUUAUGUUGUGAAAUGGAGAACACUUUCACCAUCUCAUACAACAGCACUCCUAGAGCCCAGACGUUUAUAGAGAUGGCGUGGACUUUGCCACAGAUGAAGAGUUCAGAUCCACUGUUUUACACCAGUCAUGCUGCAAGAUCUGCUCGAGGGUCAGCCGUUCAGCUGGAUCACGGUUUAGGCACUGGACAAUCAGAUCACGGCAUUCUGUUUUCAGGAGAGAGCUGCUUACAGUUUGAAGAUACUGAUCCCGUACAGUCUUUUGAAUACGUUUGAUGGCAACCUGCAAAAGAUUUACCAUUAGUGGGGGCGCAGUCUGAAGACUCUGGGACAGGUGACGGCUCAGGAUCAUCCAGUUCUGGUGGAGGAACAAAAGGCUCCACU
This is a long non-coding RNA of Cyprinus carpio (common carp), 685 nucleotides long. RefSeq lists it as uncharacterized. The record is from RefSeq and is a predicted model, not a curated record. The transcript is spliced from 6 exons. Lineage: Eukaryota; Metazoa; Chordata; Actinopteri; Cypriniformes; Cyprinidae.